UACAGAGGUCUCAAGCGUUGUUCGGAUUCAUUGGGCGUAAAGGGUGCGUAGGCGGCGCGGUAAGUCGGGGGUGAAAUCUCGGGGCUUAACUCCGAAACUGCAUUCGAUACUACCGUGCUUGAGGACUGGAGAGGAGACUGGAAUUCAUGGUGUAGCGGUGAAAUGCGUAGAGAUCAUGAGGAAGACCAGUGGCGAAGGCGGGUCUCUGGACAGUUCCUGACACUGAGACACGAAGGCGAGGGGAGCAAACGGG
This 253-nucleotide ribosomal RNA is filed under the name uncultured bacterium. RNAcentral describes it as "partial 16S ribosomal RNA". It matches the Rfam family "Bacterial small subunit ribosomal RNA", at positions 524 to 776 of the family's 1533-position model. The record is from RNAcentral.